Molecule: ribosomal RNA, 496 nt
Filed under: uncultured bacterium
Lineage: Bacteria
Description: partial 16S ribosomal RNA
Rfam family: Bacterial small subunit ribosomal RNA
Source: RNAcentral
UGGGGAAUAUUGGACAAUGGGGGCAACCCUGAUCCAGCAAUGCCGCGUGUGUGAAGAAGGUCUUCGGAUUGUAAAGCACUUUCGACGGGGACGAUGAUGACGGUACCCGUAGAAGAAGCCCCGGCUAACUUCGUGCCAGCAGCCGCGGUAAUACGAAGGGGGCUAGCGUUGCUCGGAAUGACUGGGCGUAAAGGGCGUGUAGGCGGUUUACACAGUCAGAUGUGAAAUCCCCGGGCUUAACCUGGGAGCUGCAUUUGAUACGUGUAGACUAGAGUGUGAGAGAGGGUUGUGGAAUUCCCAGUGUAGAGGUGAAAUUCGUAGAUAUUGGGAAGAACACCGGUGGCGAAGGCGGCAACUGGCUCAUGACUGACGCUGAGGCGCGAAAGCGUGGGGAGCAAACAGGAUUAGAUACCCUGGUAGUCCACGCUGUAAACGAUGUGUGACUAGAUGUUGGGUAACUUUGUUAUUCAGUGUCGCAGUUAACGCGUUAAAGCAC